GGAGCACAAGCUUUGCUGAACUGCUCUUCAAAUUUAAGCAGCUAAAAAUGCCAGUGCGAGCUUUGCUGAGAUUGGCUCCUUUGCUUCUUGGAAAUCCACAGCCAAUGGUGAUGUGACCGUGUCUGGCGGUGAACCUACCCUGAAACGUGACUUCUGCACAAAAAACGUGACCAAACAUCAAAGCUAAAGCAAUGUUUAUAAAGUUUUAUGGUAUAACUAGGGGGAAAUGAGCUGCACAAACCUCAAUGUAUUUUAAAUCUGUUGCUGUCAUCAUUAACGGUAUAUGACAUAUAAAAGCAAGUUAAAAUUUACUUUUGUAAAUAAAGUUUUUGGUUUGUUUCCAAAACUCUUGAUGAUUGCUUUAGUUUUGGACUUAGAGAAUAGAGCAGGGGUUGCUGGAGUGAAUAUUGAUUUUUAAAGUCUUUGAACUGUGGUGGUAUAGGUGAAGUGACUAAGCCCAAAAAUGCCAAGUUUUAAAAGAAGCUAUGUCAUAAAGUUUUACUUUCUGUGGCAAAAGAGCGCUUUAGCAUUUCCUCAGAUGUCACAGUUGUCCUGUCUAAAAUAAGUUUGUACUUCUGGUGACAAUGCCAGACACUCUUAUGAUGUGAUCACCUUAAACAGGAGAAGGAGAUUUUUGCCCUCAGUUGCUCAACAUGAAGUACUGUGGACUGAAUUGUGUCCUCCCAGAAUUAUAUAUUGAGGCCCUAAUCCCUGUGUGACUGUAUUAGGCAAUAGGGCAUAUAGGAGAUUACUAAGGUUAAGUGAGGUCAUCAUAAGGGUGGGGCCUUAAUUCAGUAGAAUUGGUGGCCUCCUAAGCAGAGGAAGAGAGAUUUUUCUUUCUCUCUCUGCCAUGUGAAGACAGUGAGGAGUCGGCCGUCUGCAAGCCAAGAAGAGCCCUUAUCAGGAACAGACUUGGCUAGCACCUUGAUCGUGGACCUCCAGCCUCCAAAAUUGCGAGAAAAUACAUUUCCGUCGUUGAAACCACCCAGUCUGUGGUAUUUUGUUAUGGCAGCCCAGGCAGACUAAUACGUGAAGCCUGCUCUAAAUAGAUAAAAUAAGAAAUUACUACAGAGGGCUCUUUAGAAAUUGUAUUUAAAAACAAGACAAUCCAUAUUUACCUAAGAUUUACAGAACGUAUGUCUGUAAAAGGAGGGAUUUCUGGACUAGAUGAUGGUGAAAAAUGUUCAUAUAAAGGCACCUCCAGCUUCGAGUUGCCAACACAGGAGGAAGAAUGCUCCCUGCUGUUCAGAUGCUGAUAUGUGUCCUGUGCUUCCUGGAUGGCCAGUGGGAUCAUAAGCUGGUAGAAGCAAGAUCUUCAUCCACUGACUUCAUAUUUCUUCCACAUCCUGAACUGUGGUGUUUGACUUUAAAAAUAAAUUAAAGCAAAUAGAAAUGUUUCCAUUGAGAUUUUGGCAAAAACCCACAUGACAUUUGCGUCUGCAGAGUAGACUUGGAAGGCAUGCACCUGGAGGCCAAGUGGUAUUCUCUGGACUCUCUGUCCUUGCAUUUGCGUGGCUGCCCCGAGGACUCCCUUCUUCCUGGAUGUGAAGCAGAGGCACGGUGGGGCUGACUGAGAGGCUGAAAUGUGCUUCUCUUCACAGUUACAUAGUUUUCUUCUAAUUAAAAAUAAAUUUUAAGUGGUAGAUUAUGAAAAUUCCAUUUGAAUCAAGAUUUUAAAAAUUCAAUAUCAAACCAGUUGUUACUGUCUUCACUCUCCGUUGUUUACGAUUGUGUGCUUUUCCCUGAAUAAAGAAUGACUGGAGAGACAUUAGUUGUUUGCACACAUAUUAACU
Molecule: long non-coding RNA, 1793 nt
Filed under: Homo sapiens (human)
Lineage: Eukaryota; Metazoa; Chordata; Mammalia; Primates; Hominidae
Description: non-protein coding lnc-RGPD1-6:1
Source: RNAcentral